This 468-nucleotide RNase P RNA is filed under the name Hymenobacter latericius. Its description in RNAcentral is "Hymenobacter sp. YIM 151858-1 RNase P RNA component class A". It matches the Rfam family "Bacterial RNase P class A". From Rfam's summary of the family: Ribonuclease P (RNase P) is a ubiquitous endoribonuclease, found in archaea, bacteria and eukarya as well as chloroplasts and mitochondria. The record is from RNAcentral. Lineage: Bacteria; Pseudomonadati; Bacteroidota; Cytophagia; Cytophagales; Hymenobacteraceae.
GUGAUGCGCCGCCCCACCGCUGCGCAACCGGCCUAGGUCGGGAGCGGAGAGGAAAGUCCGGGCAACGCAGAGCACCCUGCUUCCUAACGGGAAGGACGGCGGCGGGCGACGGCCGCCGGACAGCCAGUGCCACAGAAAACUACCGCCUGUUUGAGCUUAGGUAAAAAGCUUAGGGACUUGGCUGAACGACUCCAAGCACCAUAAGUUCUUAAGCCCUAACCGGUAAGGGUGAAAAGGUGCGGUAAGAGCGCACCAGCGGGCGGGCAACCGUUCCGGCUGGGUAAACCUCAGGGGUUGAAAGGCCAAAUAGGCCGGCAGGCGGGGCUUCGGUCCCGCAACGAGCGGCUCGCUCGUUGUCGGCGGGUAGGCUGAUGGAGCCCACGCGCGAGUGUGGGCCUAGAUAAAUGGUGGGGCCGCUGCCCUUCGCGGGGUGGCGGACAGAACCCGGCUUACAGGCGCAUCACCAAA